This 508-nucleotide ribosomal RNA is filed under the name uncultured bacterium. Its description in RNAcentral is "partial 16S ribosomal RNA". It matches the Rfam family "Bacterial small subunit ribosomal RNA", at positions 30 to 523 of the family's 1533-position model. The record is from RNAcentral.
AUUGAACGCUGGCGGCAUGCCUUACACAUGCAAGUCGAACGGCAGCGGGGGAGAAGCUUGCUUUUCCUGCCAGCGAGUGGCGAACGGGUGAGUAGUGCUUCGGAACGUACCCAAUCGUGGGGGAUAACGUAGCGAAAGUUACGCUAAUACCGCAUAAGUCCUGAGGGAGAAAGCAGGGGAUCGCAAGACCUUGCGCGAAUGGAGCGGCCGAUGUCGGAUUAGCUAGUUGGUGAGGUAAAGGCUCACCAAGGCGACGAUCCGUAGCUGGUCUGAGAGGACGACCAGCCACACUGGGACUGAGACACGGCCCAGACUCCUACGGGAGGCAGCAGUGGGGAAUUUUGGACAAUGGGCGAAAGCCUGAUCCAGCCAUGCCGCGUGAGUGAAGAAGGCCUUCGGGUUGUAAAGCUCUUUCGGACAGAAAGAAAUCUUCCGGGCUAAUACCUCGGAAGGAUGACGGUACUGUAAGAAGAAGCACCGGCUAACUACGUGCCAGCCGCCGCCGUAA